UAGAUACCCUGGUAGUCCACGCAGUAAACGAUGAUUACUAGGAGUUUGCGAUACAAUGUAAGCUCUACAGCGAAAGCGUUAAGUAAUCCACCUGGGGAGUACGCCGGCAACGGUGAAACUCAAAGGAAUUGACGGGGGCCCGCACAAGCGGAGGAACAUGUGGUUUAAUUCGAUGAUACGCGAGGAACCUUACCCGGGUUUGAACGUAGUCUGACCGGAGUGGAAACACUCCUUCUAGCAAUAGCAGAUU
RNAcentral lists this ribosomal RNA (250 nucleotides) under uncultured bacterium. RNAcentral describes it as "partial 16S ribosomal RNA". It matches the Rfam family "Bacterial small subunit ribosomal RNA", at positions 779 to 1032 of the family's 1533-position model. The record is from RNAcentral.